UGAUGAGAUUAAUCCAAAUCAAGUUCUCUGGACUAUGUUUAAAAACAACUUUAAUCACAUACACUAUUGACACUAUGUAUAAAGUAGAUGUCUACUGAGAACAUACCUCACAAAGCUGUACAACACCCAGUAUUAUUUCCGGGGCACGCUGUGUAGAGGUUUCAAGCCAAAAGCAGUUUCUUCUGUUUAUUGCUUUAAGUAUCUUUCUAAAAGUUAGGAGACGAAAGUAGAGAGAGGGAAAGUUUCUAUUUAGAUUGUCUCCACUUAGAAAGUCUCCAAUGGACCAAACUAAGAAAAAGAUGACCCUUGAACAACACGAAUUUGAACUGUGCAGGUCCAGUUAAACUUGGAUUUUUUUUCCAGUGGUAAACAUUUCAGUACUACACCAUCUGUGGCUGAUUGAAUCUGCUGACACAGAGGAGCCAUAGCUGAGGAAUCGAGUAUAUGGAGGGCCCACUUGUCACUAGUGGUAAAGAACCCACCUGCCGAUACUGGAGACAUGAGACGUGGGUUUGAUCCCUGGGUCAGGAAGAUCCCCUGGAGAAGAGCAUGGCAACCCACUCUAGUAUUCUUGCCUGGAGAAUCCCAUGGACAGAGGAGCCUGGCAGGCUACAGUCCAUAGCGUCACAAAGAGCUGGACAUGACGGAAGAGAUCUAGCAUGUGCGCAAUAUAAAUUAUGGCUGAAAUUUUAGACUGGGUCAAGGGUCAAAACCACUAACCCCAGCCUUGCUCCAGGGUUAACUGUACAUGUUGUCUGCUCCUCUUGUUUUCGUUUUUGUUUUUUUCCUUUUUUCCUGGCACCCUUAGAAAGAGGAAUGUGAGAGAGAUGACAGGGCUUUUAAUUCUUGUCCAAAGAAUUCCAGGGUAUUUCAGUUGUAAUAUUUGUUCUCUUUCACCAAACUUAAAGUAGCCUGGGAGUGAGUGUCUGAAAGCAUCUGAUAAAAUGACAUGCACAGAGCUGAUGCGAUCGACCUUGUGCAUAUCUUCCCCCUCCUCUAAGAGCGCACAGAAGCAGUUGCUAAUCCUGGACUUAAUGUAAGAGCCUUUAGGAUGGGGUACUGCAAAACUCUCUCCAACCAAUUCAUAAGUGCACUUGGAUUCCUGAAGACUGCCAAGGCCUAAAAAGUCCUUGAUUUGUGAGUUUGGGCAGGGACUGUUGGCUGUCACCCAAUGCUUCUUCUGUAGCAAUAAACUUUACACACCCUAGUUUCUAGCUAAGCAUUUGUGUGCUCGCAAUAAACAAUAUUAUUGUCAGCUUCUCUUGAGUCCAGUUGUGAAUAUGUGACUAAGAUUUAGACAAUGGGGUGUAAAUGGCAGUGUCAAUUGUGUUGGGAACCUACCUUAAGGAUCAGAUGAUAGGCAUCCUUUUCCUCAUUUUUGGGGGGGUGGGUUGUUUGUUUGUUUUUGUCCCUUCCUCUAUCUUGCUGCCUAGAACACAGAUGCGAAGGCUGGAGUUCAACCCAUUAUACUGGAUCACAAGGACGAAAGUCCCUAGGGACUGCAGAAAGGAGGACUACAAAGAACUUGGUCCCCUAGGACCUCAUGAGGCAGAAUUGCUGCUCUGCCUUCCAGCAGUCAUUUGUGAGAGAGAGAAAUCAACUCACAGGGGAUGUGGGUUCGAUCCCUGGUCUGAGAACUGAGAUCCCCUAUGCCAUCAGGCAACUAAAUCCAUGUGAUACAACUAGAGAAGUCUGUGCACCACAGCAAAGAUCCAACUCAGUCAAAAAAGAAAAUUAUAAGGGGGAGAAAAUACAUUUACAGAUUGUACUGUAUUUAUUAAU
Molecule: long non-coding RNA, 1782 nt
Organism: Bos taurus (domestic cattle)
Lineage: Eukaryota; Metazoa; Chordata; Mammalia; Artiodactyla; Bovidae
Source: Ensembl